Molecule: transfer RNA, 77 nt
Filed under: Chamaesiphon minutus PCC 6605
Lineage: Bacteria; Bacillati; Cyanobacteriota; Cyanophyceae; Gomontiellales; Chamaesiphonaceae
Description: tRNA-Asp
Rfam family: tRNA
About the family: Transfer RNA (tRNA) molecules are approximately 80 nucleotides in length. Their secondary structure includes four short double-helical elements and three loops (D, anti-codon, and T loops).
Source: RNAcentral
GGGACUGUAGCUCAGUUGGUUAGAGCGCGCGCCUGUCACGCGCGAGGUCGCGGGUUCGAGCCCCGUCAGUCCCGUCA